Molecule: ribosomal RNA, 440 nt
Filed under: uncultured bacterium
Lineage: Bacteria
Description: bacterial SSU rRNA
Rfam family: Bacterial small subunit ribosomal RNA
Source: RNAcentral
CCUACGGGAGGCUGCAGUGGGGAAUAUUGCACAAUGGGGGAAACCCGGUUCCACCAACGCCGCGGGGGCGUGGAAGCCCUCGGGGUCGAAAGGCCCGGUCCUAGGGGAGGAAUCUUGACGGUACCUUAGGAGGAAGCCCCGGCUAACUACGUGCCAGCAGCCGCGGUAAUACGUAGGGGGUUAGCGUUAUCCGGAAUUACGGGGCGUAAAGGGUGCGUAGGCGGCCCUUCAAGUCAGAGGUGAAAGGCUACGGCUCAACCGUAGUAAGCCUUUGAAACUGUAGGGCUUGAGUGCAGGAGAGGAGAGUGGAAUUCCCAGUGUAGCGGUGAAAUGCGUAGAUAUUGGGAGGAACACCAGUUGCGAAGGCGGCUCUCUGGACUGUAACUGACGCUGAGGCACGAAAGCGUGGGGAGCGAACAGGAUUAGAUACCCCUGUAGUC